Molecule: non-coding RNA, 34 nt
Filed under: unclassified sequences
Source: RNAcentral
CUCUGGUUCCACAUGAGCUCCAGGGCGGAAAGAG